GACGAACGCUGGCGGCGUGCUUAACACAUGCAAGUCGAACGGAAAGGCCCUGCUUUUGUGGGGUGCUCGAGUGGCGAACGGGUGAGUAACGCGUGAGUAACCUGCCCUUGACUUUGGGAUAACUUCAGGAAACUGGGGCUAAUACCGGAUAGGAGCUCCUGCUGCAUGGUGGGGGUUGGAAAGUUUCGGCGGUUGGGGAUGGACUCGCGGCUUAUCAGCUUGUUGGUGGGGUAGUGGCUUACCAAGGCUUUGACGGGUAGCCGGCCUGAGAGGGUGACCGGCCACAUUGGGACUGAGAUACGGCCCAGACUCCUACGGGAGGCAGCAGUGGGGAAUAUUGCACAAUGGGCGGAAGCCUGAUGCAGCAACGCCGCGUGCGGGAUGACGGCCUUCGGGUUGUAAACCGCUUUCGCCUGUGACGAAGCGUGAGUGACGGUAAUGGGUAAAGAAGCACCGGCUAACUACGUGCCAGCAGCCGCGGUGAUACGUAGGGUGCGAGCGUUGUCCGGAUUUAUUGGGCGUAAAGGGCUCGUAGGUGGUUGAUCGCGUCGGAAGUGUAAUCUUGGGGCUUAACCCUGAGCGUGCUUUCGAUACGGGUUGACUUGAGGAAGGUAGGGGAGAAUGGAAUUCCUGGUGGAGCGGUGGAAUGCGCAGAUAUCAGGAGGAACACCAGUGGCGAAGGCGGUUCUCUGGGCCUUUCCCGACGCUGAGGAGCGAAAGCGUGGGGAGCGAACAGGCUUAGAUACCCUGGUAGUCCACGCUGUAAACGGUGGGUACUAGGUGUGGGGUCCAUUCCACGGGUUCCGUGCCGUAGCUAACGCUUUAAGUACCCCGCCUGGGGAGUACGGCCGCAAGGCUAAAACUCAAAGGAAUUGACGGGGCCCCGCACAAGCGGCGGAGCAUGCGGAUUAAUUCGAUGCAACGCGUAGAACCUUACCUGGGUUUGACAUGGAUCGGGAGUGCUCAGAGAUGGGUGUGCCUCUUUUGGGGUCGGUUCACAGGUGGUGCAUGGCUGUCGUCAGCUCGUGUCGUGAGAUGUUGGGUUAAGUCCCGCAACGAGCGCAACCCUUGUUCACUGUUGCCAGCACGUUAUGGUGGGGACUCAGUGGAGACCGCCGGGGCCAACUCGGAGGAAGGUGGGGAUGACGUCAAGUCAUCAUGCCCCUUAUGUCCAGGGCUUCACGCAUGCUACAAUGGCUGGUACAGAGAGUGGCGAGCCUGUGAGGGUGAGCGAAUCUCGGAAAGCCGGUCUCAGUUCGGAUUGGGGUCUGCAACUCGACCUCAUGAAGUCGGAGUCGCUAGUAAUCGCAGAUCAGCAACGCUGCGGUGAAUACGUUCCCGGG
This 1343-nucleotide ribosomal RNA is filed under the name uncultured bacterium. RNAcentral describes it as "16S ribosomal RNA". It matches the Rfam family "Bacterial small subunit ribosomal RNA", at positions 28 to 1378 of the family's 1533-position model. The record is from RNAcentral.